CAACCGCCGCGGUAAUACAGAGGGUGCGAGCGUUAAUCGGAUUUACUGGGCGUAAAGCGUGCGUAGGCGGCUUUUUAAGUCGGAUGUGAAAUCCCUGAGCUUAACUUAGGAAUUGCAUUCGAUACUGGGAAGCUAGAGUAUGGGAGAGGAUGGUAGAAUUCCAGGUGUAGCGGUGAAAUGCGUAGAGAUCUGGAGGAAUACCGAUGGCGAAGGCAGCCAUCUGGCCUAAUACUGACGCUGAGGUACGAAAGCAUGGGGAGCAAACAGGAUUAGAUACCCGUGUAGUCCCUGUCUCUUAUAC
RNAcentral lists this ribosomal RNA (301 nucleotides) under uncultured bacterium. RNAcentral's name for it is "partial 16S ribosomal RNA". It matches the Rfam family "Bacterial small subunit ribosomal RNA", at positions 509 to 807 of the family's 1533-position model. The record is from RNAcentral.